AUUCAGUUGACGCAAAGCUGAUUAGUGGGCAAGUACCCAGAGGUAGUUUAACAAAUGUUAACAAGACUCAGCACACUGAAGUCCACUUUCCAUGCAAAGUUCUAGGCAACAACUAUAGAAAAUAUUGGCAGUGAAAAGGGUGCAUAAAUUUCUCCAAAAGGUUUAUCCUCAUGGUAUCUCAAAUAGAAUAUUGCAUCCGAAGGAGAAAGGAAUUCAGUUCAAUAGAAAUGAUUCGCAACUCAUCAUGACACCACGUAUGUGUCAGACCAAUUGUAGAACACUAAAAGUAGUGCAAAUAAUAGCAGCAUCAACCCAUAUGUCAAAAUAAUAACAUGAACAGGAAAAGGAAAAAGAAAAUCCCAAACAUAUACCUGAACUCCUUGCUUAGCUUUGGCUUCCAGCAAUGCAUCAAGCCUUGAGGAAGCAUGAUUAUGAAACGGACGUCGCAGAUACAAUUCUGGGCACAGCCACCAGCCACAAAUAAAUAUCUGCAAAGAACUUCCAAUCAUCUGAUGGAUACUUGAAGCCAAAAAGAUAGGAUAAUUAAUCUUAACAGCAGUAUUUCAGUGCCUCUAAUGGGGAAGGGACUGACCUCUGAUUUAGCAUCCUCGAUUGAAGAAGCAAUAGCUUCAAAGGCCGCCUUACCAUCUACAAACCACUGAGCCUGACUUCCAUCAUCUGUCAUACCUCUCGGAGGAGCAAAAGAACCGAAGCGAUGAGGAUGACACCAGCCCUCAGGAGGCCUAAGUCCAGCAUCAUUAAUUGCUGCAACCCAAUCUCUAACUUUAGCACCAGUCCUGGUCCUUAACCUUAUGCUCCGAACCCCACAAGUCACCUUUGGAAGUUUCCAAUUACUCGUUAGAGGGUGAAUUUUUCUGGAACCGUUCAUGAGAUAUACAAUUUUACCAGCCAAUCAAUUACACCAUAAGUUCAAUAAGUAGAGUAUAAGUUCAUCACAAUUUGCAUCACAUAUUUAUGCCUCCACUUAAAGAAACUACAAGAUAAUCUAACUACGACAAGAAAAUUAAUAAAUUGCACUAGCUUACUUUGGCAUCAACAAUUUUUUCCAACUCUAAAUCACACAAUUCCUCAACUAGGGCUACUGAACAAGCGUGUAGACUAUAAAUCCAUGGAUUUAAGUGGGUGUCGACCUCAGCAUUGAGAUAUGUAAAAUUCAUACAAAUAGAAAUGAGGGACAAAGAAGACCUAAAGAAAUCUACUGAACUCAGCUCAGACUAAGAGUUAGGAUAUAUAAAGAUUUAUAACUGAGAAAGUUUCCCCCCAACAGCUUAAUUCAGCGUUUUCCCAGGCAAUUGCUUAGAAGUUAGUGGACUGAUUUUAUCCUGAAAUUAUAACAAUGAAAAUUUACCCUCAAUUGCUUCAUUCAGUGUUUUCCCCAGCCUAACUGCUAAUUACCUUAAAUGCAUGGCGUAGAGGGUUACGUUCCUUUACUUCUGUUGCUAAUGAUACUCGACCUUCACCAUUUCCAUCUGAGGCAGGUAGUACGUCAAAAACAAUUAUAUCCAUUGGCUUGGUAUCAAAAGGAUCUGCCAGCAAGGCCAAGAAUCCAGGUUUCAGAACAGCCCACACCUGCGCAGGAGGGGAAAAGAAAGGAAAGAAAAACAACAUGGAUUAAUUAACAAAAUUAAAAAUAAGGUUGAUAAAAUAGAAUAAAAACUUUCUUAAUUAAUAUAAUCUUCAAAUGGUAUCUCAAUAACUUCAAGGAUGAUUACACUACCUUUUGCCAAUUGUCAUUACAACAAGUAAGCAAGGGACAGCAACAGCAUUUUCUCGAAUCAUCAUUCCUUGGAAUCUUUGGUAGAUGCUUUGCCAUUACGUAAUCUUCUUUCAACUUAGGGCCAUACUCUGGUGAAAACGACAACUUUGAAGCCUCCAAAAAUUUGCAAACCUACAAUAUGAAAUUGCUCAUUGUGAAGAAAGUUAAAUCUUCAAUGUUAUUCAAAUCAAUUUAUUAACAGAAAUGCAAAAAUUAUGUUUUAAAAAAAAUUCAAAUAACACUAACAUAGAUUACGAGAAAAUGCCAAGCAUACCUCUCGAGAGUUAACGAUAUCCAUGUUUCCCAGAAAAUGAUUCAAAUACUGUUGCAUUGCAACUUUUGCUCUGUCUGACAUCGAGUGCUGCCUUCCUAAAGCUGGCCGGAUAACUGGCAGAGCAGCAUUUGCCGGAACAUCUCUGAACACAAAAACCUCACUUUGUAACUAUAACAAACAUUUAAGAAUAGGUCAUAUUUUUCAUUCAUGACCAUCAUAACAAGUUGUAACAGACCUUUUCUUAGAACUCUCAUCAUGAUUAACAGCGAUCUCGUCACCUUCAUCAUCUUCUUGCACAACUGCCAUGUGAUCUCCCAUUCCUAGAUUUUGAAGCCAUUCUUUAACCUUUAAUAUAAUUUUCCAAUGAAAAAUUUACAUCAAACUCCUAAACCUUCCCAAAUCAUAAAUAAACUGACAAAAUGGCGCAAAUACAUAAAAAGUUACAACAGCGCAUACCUGCUCUUGCUUCUCUUGAAUUUCCUCAAAAAACGCACGUCUCUUCAAUGCAAAAUGUAAAUAAAACACUUGUGAAGCUUUCUUUACGAGUUUCCAUUUGAACUGGCGAAAACAGUAUGUAAUCAGUAAAAGAUAAAAGACACACUUUCAUGGACUUGAUAUAAGUAGUUAGAGCACUUACUAGCUAUCAGAAUUGCUUUCUACGAAAGCAGUUCUUAUUAAACUCAAGCAUUGCAAUAAUCAUAACUUGAAUUUAAUUCGGAUUUAAAUACAAACUAUAAAUAGUCACAAUUCGAUUAUAUUUCAACGAUUUGUUAGAGAAUAACUAAAAAAUGAAUAUCAAUGAUAAGAAAAAGAGAUCGUGCCUGUUUGUAUUGAACUUCGAUGGUGUAAGAUAAAAGCAUGGGGCUAAUAUCGCCAGCGUCGGGUCUCGAAACGGAGACGAUGGAAGCCUUAGGCAACUCGUCGAAUAUCCGAGCCGGCUCGGGUUCGGGACCCGACCCGACCGACGUGAAGAACGAUGACGUUUCCGGCUGCAUUUGUACGUACCGGAGUCCAACCCCUGGUAUCAAAUCCUCCGAUGCCAUUCCUUUCCUUAAAAUAUCUUUGAUUUAAUUUAACAGUCAAUCAACCAAUCUGUGAUUUUGAUUCCAAAAAAGAAAAAAUGAAAAUGUUUUCCCGAAUCAAAGAAUUGUUACGGUAAAAGGAUUUUGAUUUAAAUUCAAAGUUAAGAGAUAAAAUAAAACGACGGAGUAGUUAUGAAUUGUUGGGGUCGUUUUGGGAUUUUGAAAAGUAAAAGAAACAGUGAGAGAGAGAGUCUCGGGAAAUUGGUUUGCUCAUGAAUUCAAGUAACUACCAGAAGGAUGUGUCAAAUUUGGAAUUUAGUUGCCACUUUAUUCAAUGGGGGCAUAUUGGAAUUUGGAUUAGAGCCGAUUGUGUUUAGAAAACAAGCAGAAAGUUCUAAUACAUUAAAUAAUGCUAAAUCAUUCAUUUUAUUGCCUUUAAAGAAUUAAAACCAAUGGUAUUUGGAUCAAAAUUUAAACAGACAAUAAUAUUGUGAUACAAACUCCAUUCUCAUAAAUUAAUUUGGGAUAUUUUAGCUACCCCUUUUUUUUUUUUUUUUUAACUAGAGAUCUUAUAAUAAUUGAUAUAACAUUACGACUUGGGACAUCAAUAUUAUAUAUUGUAUCACAUCGAUUUAUUUAAAUAAAAUGAGUAUAUAAUAUCACAAUAAACUUCUGUAACACGUAAACUAUUUAACUACCGUUCCGUUCCCUUUCUCGUAUGAGUAAUCCGCAAGAGGAGUUUAUAUACAUAAUUUUGCUCCUAGUUCUCAUGGUCAGCUUAAUGAUAAGCUUACUCAACGGUCUUUUUUAUUUAAUUGUAAUUUUAGGAGGAAUCACCGACUUUAGCUUCAAUCAGACGCUUUAAGCUUGGUCCAAGUCCAGCUAAUAAUCAACAAUGAUCGGCAGUGUCUACACGUCCUUGGUAAAUUACACGUAUCAUCUUCAAAACAAGAAGUGAAGAACCCCUCAAAUGUAUCAUUAUCUUUUAACUUUUGUUAUAACAAAUUUUAACUGAUAAUCCAAUAAUUAUAGAUAGUUAAACCAUAAUUGACAAUCUUUGACAAUUUAAUAACAAAAAUUAGCAGCAGAUGCAGACCAAGAACUAACCCUCCAGUUAUCAAAUUAACUCAAGGACUUGAGGUUUCAUAUGCUCGAUGGGCUGACAUGUCCAUUUCAAGUUUUCAAUAACAAGAAACUUGGACUUAAAAUACAAUAAAGAAAAAGAGUGCCGUGCAAGUAUGAAGAAUCUAGCUGCGGAAACAGAUAACAUUACCUGCAUAAGUUUAGCAUCUCAAGUUACAUAACCUCUGAUUUUAAGCAAAAAGAGUAUUGCGCUAAACAAUCAAAAAUGGAAAUUUCAACAAUACGGCACACUGAGAAUUUACCAACAGAGAUAAUGAACAUAAUACUCAUCAUUCAACAUAACAAGAAACUACAAACGGUUCAUAUGGUUCCAAAAUUCAAGGCUUUAUAAGUAAAUAAUUUGCCAUUAAACAGAAAACAAAAUAACUUGGGAAA
RNAcentral lists this long non-coding RNA (4591 nucleotides) under Citrus maxima (pomelo). RNAcentral's name for it is "long non-coding RNA (CMAX_LNC003583)". The record is from RNAcentral. Lineage: Eukaryota; Viridiplantae; Streptophyta; Magnoliopsida; Sapindales; Rutaceae.